RNAcentral lists this ribosomal RNA (742 nucleotides) under Lernentoma asellina. Its description in RNAcentral is "SSU rRNA". It matches the Rfam family "Eukaryotic small subunit ribosomal RNA", at positions 52 to 798 of the family's 1831-position model. The record is from RNAcentral. Lineage: Eukaryota; Metazoa; Arthropoda; Copepoda; Poecilostomatoida; Chondracanthidae.
UGCAUGUCUAAGUACAAGCCUUACUAAGGUGAAACCGCGAAUGGCUCAUUAAAUCACACCUAAUGUACUGGAUAGUUUCAGUUACUUGGAUAACUGCGGUAAUUCUGGAGCUAAUACAUGCGCACAAGUCCCCGAUUUUGAGGGGUGCUUUUAUUAGAUCAAAACCAAACGGCCUCGGCUGUUUACUUGGUGAUUCUGAAUAACUUUGGGCUGAUCGUAUGGCUUUAUGCCGACGACGUAUCCUUCCAAGGUGUGCCCUAUCAACUGUCGACUGUGGCAUAGACGCCCACAGUGGUUUUGACGGGUAACGGGGAAUUAGGGUUCGAUUCCGGAGAGGGAGCCUGAGAAAUGGCUACCACUUCUACGGAAGGCAGCAGGCACGCAAAUUACCCAAUGGUCGCAGACCGAGGUAGUGACGAAAAAUAACGGUAUCGGUCUCUUUUGAGGCACGAUAAUCGGAAUGAGUACACUUUAAAUCCUUUAAUGAGGAACAAUUGGAGGGCAAGUCUGGUGCCAGCAGCCGCGGUAAUUCCAGCUCCAAUAGCGUAUAUUAAAGUUGUUGCGGUUAAAAAGCUCGUAGUUGGAUUUCGGCAGACAGGGGGCGGUUCGUUGUUUGACGGCACUGCUCCAUUUGUUUGUGUUUUUGACGGAGGUUUGAGGGUUCUCUUUACUGGGUGUCCUCAGGUGCCGUCAGGUUUACUUUGAAAAAAUUAGAGUGCUCAAAGCAGGCUUAAACGCUUGA